This 491-nucleotide ribosomal RNA is filed under the name uncultured Bacillus sp. RNAcentral's name for it is "bacterial SSU rRNA". It matches the Rfam family "Bacterial small subunit ribosomal RNA", at positions 9 to 519 of the family's 1533-position model. The record is from RNAcentral. Lineage: Bacteria; Bacillati; Bacillota; Bacilli; Caryophanales; Bacillaceae.
GAGUUUGAUCGUGGCUCAGAAUGAACGUUGGCGGCGUGGAUUAGGCAUGCAAGUCGCGCGAGAAACGUAGCAAUACGUGGAAAGCGGCGUAAGGGAGAGUAAUCCAUGGUUAGCUACCCUCGGGACUGGGAUAGCGGCGGGAAACUGCCGGUAAUACCAGAUGACAUCUUCGGAUCAAAGGUGUGAAUCCGCCCGGGGAGGCGACCAUGUCCUAUCAGCUAGUUGGCGGUGUAACGGACCACCAAGGCUAAAACGGGUAUGGGGCGUGAGAGCGUGCCCCCACUCACUGGGACUGAGACACUGCCCAGACACCUACGGGUGGCUGCAGUCGAGAAUCUUCGGCAAUGGGCGCAAGCCUGACCGAGCGACGCCGCGUGCGGGAUGAAGGCCUUCGGUUGUAACCGCUGUCGUAGGGAGGAAGCGACCGUGAAGAACGGAAGUUGACCGAUCCUAGGAGGAAGGGCCGGCGUAAUCUCGUGCCAGCCGCCGCU